Mycena metata is the source of this 92-nucleotide non-coding RNA. The record is from the annotation of a GenBank genome assembly. Lineage: Eukaryota; Fungi; Basidiomycota; Agaricomycetes; Agaricales; Mycenaceae.
GCCUCUGUAGAUCAGAGUUGAUUGCCUCGAAUUGUUAUGAGAGUACAUGGAGAAUUAACGAGGAGAUGUGGGUUCGAGUCCCACUGGAGGCA